AUGGGGGCAGCCUACAAAAUGAGAGAGUGAGCUGCGCUGGAGGAGCAGAUGUGAGAGCGCACGGUUGGGGCCAGGCGCGCCACGAUAAUUAGCCGCGGAUAUAUUAAGGGGAAUAACCGGAUUAUGAGGAUUUGAAGAGAAAUCGCCAGAAUCCGGUGUCAUACAAGGCGAGGGAUUAAAUUACGCGCCUUCACUUCUCCGGUCGCCGUUAUGGGGAUAGACCGGCGGCGGAGAGCGUCGCUGGCUCUCACCUUGAACUUCCUCGCCUUGUUCCUCGCCGUGUCGGCUCUCACCACCAGCUACUGGUGCGAGGGGACGCGGAAAGUGGUGAAGCCGUUCUGCACCGGCCCGGUUACCACCAAACAGUCGUUCUGCAUCAGGUUCAACAGCUCCAACCUCAACGACACGCGGCUGGUGCAGUACAUCUGGGAGACCGGGGAGGAUAAGUACGUGAUGAGGAAGUUUCACACCGGCAUCUGGUUCUCCUGCGAGCAGAACAUCAACAUGACCGGUGAAAAUUGCAGAAGUUUCCUUUAUGUUGCACCUUCCAAUGAAAGAGGAGUGCUGUGGCUGUGCAUUGUUGCAGAGUGCCUGUAUAUCCUCCUGCUGUCCACUGGAGGCAUCCUCAUGUCAAUAGAGGUGUGUCAUUUUGGCAAUGUCAUCGACGGCCUCAAGCUCAACGCCUUCGCUGCCAUAUUCACUGUGCUCUCAGGUCUGUUGGGGAUGGUAGCACACAUGAUGUUCACCACAGCCUUCCAGCUGACUGUCAGUCUGGGCCCGGAGGACUGGAAACCUCAGACAUGGGACUACAGCUGGUCAUACAUUUUGGCGUGGAGCUCCUUCACAGCCUGUAUGGCAUCCUCAGUCACCACCAUCAACCGCUACACCAAAACCAUCCUGGAGUUCAAGCACAAGCGCAGAAACAUUGAGAAGAACCUGAAGAUCAAGCAGAAGCUGUUGGAGCUGGACUCUCCAGAGCAGGUGUGGGACAUGUACAUCAGUUCUGUGCCAAGCACUGCCGAGGAGCUGCUGGACCUGUCAUCCAACGGCCGCAAACUCUCCAACACCUCCAUCUUCCUGGACCUCAAUGACCUGCCUGACCCACAGGGAGAAGAAUACUGCUAGAGGAGCAACAUGUAGCAUUUUGAAACAUCAGCAUGCCAUUGUCGUGUUUAAUGUCAUACAGUACUUACUGUAAACAAAAUCAGACCAUGGUUGAGAGCUCUAAGCUGCAUUAAUUUUUAUUUAUUUAUUUAUUUAUUUUGGCCACUUAUGAGCGACAAGAAAUUCUUUCAAAGUUGACAUGGCUAACAUGUUAGCAAACAGCUGCCUAUUUAACCAACCAGCAGACACAGCAACAUCCACCCGAGUCAUGAUUCUGGACACCUGAAGGAAUAGAGCUGUCUCUCUCACUGUGUUUCAGAUCUGCCACACCCCUUUCUGAGUGCUUGGAUCACCCACACGUGAACUUCAUUUGGACUUCAGUGGAGCUGUAUAUCAACCCCCAGAACCAGUGCUCCUCGCCAUUUGGCCACUGAGCUGUUGGACUGAAGCUGCUGUUGUUGAGCUUGCUGCUAAUCGUUGAAACUCUGUUGUUUUUUCUUUUUAUAGCACCUUGAUGCAGCUCUAUUUAGCUUAUCUGUUGUCUCUGCUGACUAGUUGGUAGAAGUGCCUUGUUGAGCUAGUCUUGGUAACUUUAAGGAAGCCUUGUAGGGGUUUUCUGACAUUUAUUUUGUUUCCCCUGUUUUCUCCUUUUUGUUGUUAAUUAGGGAGCUUAGUAUUUUUCUGUAGACCAAUUGAGCUUUUUAUUUUCUAGUUAGUGUGGGUUUUUUUGCUUAUUAUUUUGGCCUUGGAGACCCUGAUGCCUUUGAUUGCUUCCAUUUCUGCAAUUUUGGCUGG
This is an RNA transcript of Thunnus maccoyii (southern bluefin tuna), 1899 nucleotides long. It is a transcript of the gene named germ cell-specific gene 1-like protein, with no coding region annotated. The transcript is spliced from 6 exons. Lineage: Eukaryota; Metazoa; Chordata; Actinopteri; Scombriformes; Scombridae. The record is from RefSeq and is a predicted model, not a curated record.